UUAAAUUGAAGAGUUUGAUCAUGGCUCAGAUUGAACGCUGGCGGCAGGCCUAACACAUGCAAGUCGAACGGUAACAGGAAGCAGCUUGCUGCUUCGCUGACGAGUGGCGGACGGGUGAGUAAUGUCUGGGAAACUGCCUGAUGGAGGGGGAUAACUACUGGAAACGGUGGCUAAUACCGCAUAACGUCGCAAGACCAAAGAGGGGGACCUUCGGGCCUCUUGCCAUCAGAUGUGCCCAGAUGGGAUUAGCUUGUUGGUGAGGUAACGGCUCACCAAGGCGACGAUCCCUAGCUGGUCUGAGAGGAUGACCAGCCACACUGGAACUGAGACACGGUCCAGACUCCUACGGGAGGCAGCAGUGGGGAAUAUUGCACAAUGGGCGCAAGCCUGAUGCAGCCAUGCCGCGUGUAUGAAGAAGGCCUUCGGGUUGUAAAGUACUUUCAGCGGGGAGGAAGGUGUUGUGGUUAAUAACCGCAGCAAUUGACGUUACCCGCAGAAGAAGCACCGGCUAACUCCGUGCCAGCAGCCGCGGUAAUACGGAGGGUGCAAGCGUUAAUCGGAAUUACUGGGCGUAAAGCGCACGCAGGCGGUCUGUCAAGUCGGAUGUGAAAUCCCCGGGCUCAACCUGGGAACUGCAUUCGAAACUGGCAGGCUUGAGUCUUGUAGAGGGGGGUAGAAUUCCAGGUGUAGCGGUGAAAUGCGUAGAGAUCUGGAGGAAUACCGGUGGCGAAGGCGGCCCCCUGGACAAAGACUGACGCUCAGGUGCGAAAGCGUGGGGAGCAAACAGGAUUAGAUACCCUGGUAGUCCACGCCGUAAACGAUGUCUACUUGGAGGUUGUGCCCUUGAGGCGUGGCUUCCGGAGCUAACGCGUUAAGUAGACCGCCUGGGGAGUACGGCCGCAAGGUUAAAACUCAAAUGAAUUGACGGGGGCCCGCACAAGCGGUGGAGCAUGUGGUUUAAUUCGAUGCAACGCGAAGAACCUUACCUGGUCUUGACAUCCACAGAACUUUCCAGAGAUGGAUUGGUGCCUUCGGGAACUGUGAGACAGGUGCUGCAUGGCUGUCGUCAGCUCGUGUUGUGAAAUGUUGGGUUAAGUCCCGCAACGAGCGCAACCCUUAUCCUUUGUUGCCAGCGAUUAGGUCGGGAACUCAAAGGAGACUGCCAGUGAUAAACUGGAGGAAGGUGGGGAUGACGUCAAGUCAUCAUGGCCCUUACGACCAGGGCUACACACGUGCUACAAUGGCGCAUACAAAGAGAAGCGACCUCGCGAGAGCAAGCGGACCUCAUAAAGUGCGUCGUAGUCCGGAUUGGAGUCUGCAACUCGACUCCAUGAAGUCGGAAUCGCUAGUAAUCGUGGAUCAGAAUGCCACGGUGAAUACGUUCCCGGGCCUUGUACACACCGCCCGUCACACCAUGGGAGUGGGUUGCAAAAGAAGUAGGUAGCUUAACCUUCGGGAGGGCGCUUACCACUUUGUGAUUCAUGACUGGGGUGAAGUCGUAACAAGGUAACCGUAGGGGAACCUGCGGUUGGAUCACCUCCUUACCUUAAAGA
This 1553-nucleotide ribosomal RNA is filed under the name Salmonella enterica subsp. enterica serovar Typhimurium. RNAcentral's name for it is "bacterial SSU rRNA". It matches the Rfam family "Bacterial small subunit ribosomal RNA". The record is from RNAcentral. RNAcentral also lists the same sequence under 1 other name. Lineage: Bacteria; Pseudomonadati; Pseudomonadota; Gammaproteobacteria; Enterobacterales; Enterobacteriaceae.